This 379-nucleotide unclassified non-coding RNA is filed under the name uncultured Oligoflexales bacterium. RNAcentral describes it as "contains 16S-23S intergenic spacer region". Lineage: Bacteria; Pseudomonadati; Bdellovibrionota; Oligoflexia; Oligoflexales. The record is from RNAcentral.
UCCGGCUUAUCACCGGCAGUCCCCUUAGAGUGCCCAACUGAAUGAUGGCAACUAAGGGCGAGGGUUGCGCUCGUUGCGGGACUUAACCCAACAUGUCACCACACGAGCUGACGACAGCCAUGCAGCACCUGUCUCUCUGUCGUAUUGCUACGAAAGCCGUAUCUCUACGGAUGUCAGAGGAUGUCAAAUCCAGGUAAGGUUCUUCGCGUUGCUUCGAAUUAAACCACAUGAUCCACCGCUUGUGCGGGCCCCCGUCAAUUCCUUUGAGUUUUAGUCUUGCGUCCGUACUUCCCAGGCGGGGUACUUAUUGCGUUAGCUCCGACUCGGCAGGGGUCAAAUCCCACCAAGUCUAGUACCCAUCGUUUACGGCGUGGACUAC